This 497-nucleotide ribosomal RNA is filed under the name uncultured bacterium. RNAcentral's name for it is "partial 16S ribosomal RNA". It matches the Rfam family "Bacterial small subunit ribosomal RNA", at positions 28 to 507 of the family's 1533-position model. The record is from RNAcentral.
GAUGAACGCUGGCGGCGUGCCUAAUACAUGCAAGUCGAGCGAACGGACGAGAAGCUUGCUUCUCUGAUGUUAGCGGCGGACGGGUGAGUAACACGUGGAUAACCUACCUAUAAGACUGGGAUAACUUCGGGAAACCGUAGCUAAUACCGGAUAAUAUUUUGAACCGCAUGGUUCAAAAGUGAAAGACGGUCUUGCUGUCACUUAUAGAUGGAUCCGCGCUGCAUUAGUUAGUUGGUAAGGUAACGGCUUACCAAGGCAACGAUGCAUAGCCGACCUGAGAGGGUGAUCGGCCACACUGGAACUGAGACACGGUCCAGACUCCUACGGGAGGCAGCAGUAGGGAAUCUUCCGCAAUGGGCGAAAGCCUGACGGAGCAACGCCGCGUGAGUGAUGAAGGUCUUCGGAUCGUAAAGCUCUGUUAUUAGGGAAGAACAUAUGUGUAAGUAACUGUGCACAUCUUGACGGUACCUAAUCAGAAAGCCACGGCUAACUACGUG